GAAUUCAACGAAAAGCCUUUACUGCCUAGUAGCACAGACUUUGCCUCUAAGUGCGUUUCAAGCAGCAGCAGCAGCAACCAUUAACUGCCAGUAGCUCCUCAGCCAGAGGUGGGGGCCUCACAAACCCUUGACCAGCCGUGAUAGAAUGUUGAAGAGCUCCACCUUGUAAGAAGAAUAAGUGAAAGAAAUGCAUCGCGUGAGGAUUCAAAAACAUGCCUGUUUGGAAGAUGGAGAGGACCCUGCACAGAAAUCGGAAAGAAGUCUCAGGAUUAAGGACCUUCGGCCAACAGCUAGAGAAGAAAAACUCCAGUCCUACUAUAUGAUGGGCAAUAUUCCAGCUGAGUUUACACUUUGCUCUGUGUUAGUUGGCUAGUAUGAUCAUCACUCCUCUUUGUCAACUAGUUUGGAUUAAAAAGUUGCUCAGACAUUA
Molecule: long non-coding RNA, 430 nt
Organism: Rattus rattus (black rat)
Lineage: Eukaryota; Metazoa; Chordata; Mammalia; Rodentia; Muridae
Exons: 3
Source: RefSeq, a predicted model, not a curated record